This is a long non-coding RNA of Aricia agestis (brown argus), 153 nucleotides long. RefSeq lists it as uncharacterized. The transcript is spliced from 3 exons. NCBI's taxonomy places the organism in Eukaryota, Metazoa, Arthropoda, Insecta, Lepidoptera, Lycaenidae. The record is from RefSeq and is a predicted model, not a curated record.
CGCUUGCGCUUGCUUAUGUUUUAAGAGCCCGUACUCUCUUUUUUACUGCUCUCUUCACACUCACGCCCGUCUUUCAUAUGCCGGGUGAAAAAGGACGAUCGCCAAGUUAGCGGGCAGUUAUAUGUUUUCUGGUUUUUAAAGGGUUUUUUAUAU